UACGGGGGGAGCAAGCGUUGUUCGGAUUUACUGGGCGUAAAGGGCGCGUAGGCGGCCACCGCAAGUCGGUUGUGAAAUCUCUGGGCUUAACCCAGAAAGGUCAAUCGAUACUGCGGGGCUAGAGUGCAGAAGGGGCAACUGGAAUUCUCGGUGUAGCGGUGAAAUGCGUAGAUAUCGAGAGGAACACCUGCGGCGAAGGCGGGUUGCUGGGCUGACACUGACGCUGACAGCGCGAAAGCUAGGGGAGCGAACGGG
This 255-nucleotide ribosomal RNA is filed under the name uncultured bacterium. Its description in RNAcentral is "partial 16S ribosomal RNA". It matches the Rfam family "Bacterial small subunit ribosomal RNA", at positions 524 to 776 of the family's 1533-position model. The record is from RNAcentral.